GGGGCGGUAGCUCAGUUGGUAGAGCGUUCGGUUCGCAAUCGAAAGGUCGGGAGUUCGAACCUCCUCCGCUCCA
RNAcentral lists this transfer RNA (73 nucleotides) under Phycisphaerales bacterium. RNAcentral's name for it is "tRNA-Ala". It matches the Rfam family "tRNA". Rfam says of the family: Transfer RNA (tRNA) molecules are approximately 80 nucleotides in length. Their secondary structure includes four short double-helical elements and three loops (D, anti-codon, and T loops). Further hydrogen bonds mediate the characteristic L-shaped molecular structure. tRNAs have two regions of fundamental functional importance: the anti-codon, which is responsible for specific mRNA codon recognition, and the 3' end, to which the tRNAs corresponding amino acid is attached (by aminoacyl-tRNA synthetases). tRNAs cope with the degeneracy of the genetic code in two manners: having more than one tRNA (with a specific anti-codon) for a particular amino acid; and 'wobble' base-pairing, i.e. permitting non-standard base-pairing at the 3rd anti-codon position. The record is from RNAcentral. Lineage: Bacteria; Pseudomonadati; Planctomycetota; Phycisphaerae; Phycisphaerales.